CCAUUUGGUAUUUUAUUUGCCUUAUUUGAUUUUCUGGCGAUUUAGAAACCCAGAAAAGCUAUUUCUUUUUCUUUUUCUUUUUCUUCCGCGGAGUACGUUUUCUCUGCAUGAAGGCGUAUUCCCGUGAAACCCGUUUCCACUUAAGUGUACCGAAAGGGUAUUAUCUAAUCUCGUCCAUCCAUUCCCCAUCCAACGGCCAUCCUUCCCCUUCCUUUUUCUUUUCUUUUUCCCUUUCUUUUUUUUCUUUUUCUCUUCUCUCCUUCCUCACGCCUUCUCCCUGGCUGCAGCCAUGGCCAAGCCAAGCCAAGCUCCGGCCGCUGCUUCUGCUCGUCGGGCCCCCCGUCGCCAAGCUCCGCCCCGGCUCCACCGCU
This 371-nucleotide long non-coding RNA is filed under the name Brachypodium distachyon (stiff brome). RNAcentral's name for it is "long non-coding RNA (BDIS_LNC004570)". The record is from RNAcentral. Lineage: Eukaryota; Viridiplantae; Streptophyta; Magnoliopsida; Poales; Poaceae.